RNAcentral lists this long non-coding RNA (1211 nucleotides) under Mus musculus (house mouse). Its description in RNAcentral is "RIKEN cDNA C730002L08 gene". Lineage: Eukaryota; Metazoa; Chordata; Mammalia; Rodentia; Muridae. The record is from RNAcentral.
AGACGUUUUAGGACAAGUGAGUGGCCAAGACAAGAAGCUAUGUGCAGAGCCCACGGAGACAAGGGAAAGAAAGGGCAAGGGAGAUUACUGGUCAUCUGGUCUCUUUGAUCACAGAACCAUUAUGAAAUGUUAGCUCUGUGGCACCAGAAUCCCCAUACUUCCAGAUUGACGGGAAUUCGGGGCCGAACUUGUUGAGAUUGCAUGAAAGUGACAGAAAAGAAGACUAAGCUUCCUGAUCCAGUUUAGAAAGAAUUGCUGACAAUGUGCCUCCCACCUGUGAAAACAAAACCAAACAAACAAAAAGCCCUGGGAUCACUGCAAAUCCAUCCACAAAAGGCACUCCCACCUUCAAGUGUCAGGUUACUUCUAUUGAAAAGGACUCAGAGAUGUGUACCCGGAAGAGAUCAAGUUCUAACCUGAAACCAACCUUGCGUGGGAGAUUUGGUAAUAACUUCUACCCAGAGGAAGAUAAAAAACAUUGUUUUUCUUUUGUUUUGUUUUGUCUUGGUUUGGUUUUGGUUUUUCGAGACCGGGUUUCGUUGUGUAGCCCUGGCUGUCCUGGAACUCACUUUGUAGACCAGGCUGGCCUCGAACUCAGAAAUCCACAUUGUUAGUGAUUCCACAAUGUGACUCAGGAUGUUGCUGUUUUUCAUGGUUCUUAAAAUCUGCAGCAUUUAUUUAUACAUCCUGAAGAUGCAUUCGGCUGGCAGGCAGCCUUGUUUAUGGUGUCCAUUCACAUCUUUACUGAGGUGAAAACCCCUCAAUGUUUCAGAUUUUCAGCAUCCACAUGAAAACAGGAAAGAAAAGCUUCAGUCAUGAGUAACGAAAAGCUGAACCCACAUUUAUAGAAUUCUAUUUCCUGAUGUAUUUAGAAAUGAUGAUUAUAAAAUAAUUUGGAUAUUAUUAAUAACAUCCUUCAUAACAUUCUUUUUUCUUGUUGCUAAUAGAGGUGACAGUCUAUUUUGAUAUUUAAGCAACCUGGUUAUUUUAGUGGUACAAAUAUAUGUCAGAUUUUCGAUAUUGAUCAUUUUUCUGUAACAGUAAAAUGCUAAUGUUGAAGCUGAUUAAUGGAAGGGAUAAGUUAUUCCUGAGGACCCUGCUACUUUCUUAUUCACUAGCUUAUUUCAACUUGGUAUUAAACAGCUUAGUUAGCAAUAUUUGAGCACUAAGGUUAUAAACAAGAAAACUCAAAAAACCAAAAAUACAACACU